This 459-nucleotide ribosomal RNA is filed under the name uncultured bacterium. Its description in RNAcentral is "partial 16S ribosomal RNA". It matches the Rfam family "Bacterial small subunit ribosomal RNA", at positions 338 to 795 of the family's 1533-position model. The record is from RNAcentral.
CCUACGGGUGGCAGCAGUGAGGAAUAUUGGUCAAUGGGCGGGAGCCUGAACCAGCCAAGCCGCGUGAGGGAAGAAGGUACAGCGUAUCGUAAACCUCUUUUGUCAGGGAACAAAGGCGGGGACUAGUCCCCGGAUGAGGGUACCUGAAGAAAAAGCAUCGGCUAACUCCGUGCCAGCAGCCGCGGUAAUACGUAGGAUGCGAGCGUUAUCCGGAUUUAUUGGGUUUAAAGGGUGCGUAGGCGGGCUGUUAAGUCAGCGGUCAAAUGUCGGGGCUCAACCCCGGCCUGCCGUUGAAACUGGCGGCCUCGAGUGGGCGAGAAGUAUGCGGAAUGCGUGGUGUAGCGGUGAAAUGCAUAGAUAUCACGCAGAACUCCGAUUGCGAAGGCAGCAUACCGGCGCCCUACUGACGCUGAGGCACGAAAGCGUGGGUAUCGAACAGGAUUAGAUACCCCGGUAGUC